RNAcentral lists this transfer RNA (72 nucleotides) under Camelus bactrianus (Bactrian camel). It matches the Rfam family "tRNA". From Rfam's summary of the family: Transfer RNA (tRNA) molecules are approximately 80 nucleotides in length. Their secondary structure includes four short double-helical elements and three loops (D, anti-codon, and T loops). RNAcentral also lists the same sequence under 2 other names. Lineage: Eukaryota; Metazoa; Chordata; Mammalia; Artiodactyla; Camelidae. The record is from Rfam by way of RNAcentral.
GGGUAUAUAGCUCAGUGGUAGAGUGUGUGCUUAGCAUGCACAGGGUCCUGGGUUCAAUCCCCGGUGCCUCCA